Vulpes vulpes (red fox) is the source of this 2030-nucleotide long non-coding RNA. The record is from Ensembl. Lineage: Eukaryota; Metazoa; Chordata; Mammalia; Carnivora; Canidae.
AGUGAGUUAAAUAAAACACGCAGUAUUACUAAAAUUGAUUUCACCUCUUUCUUUUUUCUUUCAUGUGGUUACUAGGAAAUGUAAGAUGACACAUGUGGCUCAUAUUAAAAUUCUGUUGGAUGGCCCUGGACUAGAAAGAAUCAGAUAUGCAAGAGGCCCAAAUGGACCCUUUCAGCAGAUUCAGCAAUGUUCACCAAGCAACUCUGUGUGCCUAGAGCUGGGAUAGACCCUGGCAGUGGCUCCCAGUCCCAGGACCACCUGCAGCGUCACCUGGAUGUGGGGGAAGCCACAGGCCCAGCGUGCAUACUCUGCCCUUUUGAGAGGCACACACUGGGAAUUCUCUGUGGUCCUUCUGGAGGACCGGGCUGCCUGAAUGCGAUCUCAGCAAGCCCAUGUGGCCCUGGCCGCCCACCAUUUCUCUCUGUGGCCACCUUGGCACCCCCAGGUUGUCAGCCCCCCUCCUCUGCUGAAGACCCGGGGCCGGCCCUGGCAGUCUGUCUGAGGGAAGCUGUGGCUGCUGGACAGCUGUGUUCACGGGCAUGUCCUACAGGGCACCAGGCUACUGGGAUACAGACUUAGGACAGCCUGCAAGUUUGUCAAAGGAUACAGAAGACCCUUCCCUCUGCUCUGAUGCCUACCACCGUCCUGCGAUUCUCCCCAUCUCACACAUGAGAAAACCACAGUUUCCUGAGGGUCAAGGAAUUGAUGGAGUUCCAAUAGUUUCGAAGUGGCCAAUUCCAAACUAAAAGUGAAGCUUCGUAAUUCUAAAAUUGAUGCUGUGCUACUGUAUCAGGCUCCUCUUGUAACUCAUGGAUAAUUUCAUGUUGGUGGAACAGACCAGCAAUGUAUAAAUCCUGCCUCAGUGAUACUGAAGUGCAAGAUGAUGUGGCCCUUCUUUCGUGAUCAGGGUUUCCUCUCCAGGGAACCCUGGCCUUCCCUGGACUAACCCACCAUAUUUGCAAUGAAUUCUCCUACCCCAGUAUUUCCUUCUCCCAAAAAAGGGGCUUUGUAGAGGAGUCAGGAUAUGUCUGAGUCAGGGUGAGAUUAGACACCUCUCUGGAUUUAUGGAGAAUAGCAUAUUGUAGGCUCUGGCUGCACCCCGGCACUUCCGCACAGCCAGACAGAGUUUCUGUGUUGCUUGUUUGCAAGAAAAGGGCUCCUAUCUCUGUGUAGACUGAGCGGGCGAUGGCAAGUGUUCUUGUUCCCAUCAUUGGUAUCUCUGGCCCAGAGAGCCAGGGAGAAAAUAAUGAUUAACUUUGCUCCAGCUUUCCUUUCUCUGGACGCUCUGGCAAAGAUGUUCUAAUUUUUCCUUUUGUUCUACUUGAGGAAAUCAUAUCAGGAGGGAAGAUUUCAUUAGGACGAAUGGAUUAAGUCCUGGUUCCUGGCCAUCUAAGCCUCCCCGGGGUCCCUCCUGCCUCCUCCCAGCACACCAGUUGGCCAGUCUGGGCACUCCUCCCAGCAUGGGGUCCCAGGCAGCAGCUACAAUGCACGCUUUGUUCUGGAGCCUUAGUAAGGCAAUUGACUACUCAAAAGUUCCUCCACUGACCAGGCCUGUCCUUGACAUCUGGCAUCUCUCCCAGGAUCCAACUCCAGCAGGAUUUUGAAGUAACAAAAUUAGAGUCUUUUGAAGUGAUUUGACAAUUCUCCUUUUUCAAGUUUAAAUUACAUUUACCACUUAGUGUGUCUAGAUGGUUCUAACACUUUUAGAAAUUACCGCCUCCCAAAUCCCUGGUAGAUAUUCCACAGAGUUGUCUUUCUAGAAGAAUGUGACUCCAGUAGGACCUCCUGCCCCAGCAGAUGGUGGUAACACAUCUUUGUUUACUGAGAGUCUUUGCCAUGCACGGAGCAUUUUAUAUUCAUUGUCUCUGAUAUUCACAACAACACAAAAGGUAAAUAAUAAGAUCUCUACUUUUUUUAAGAGAUCAAGAUUUUAUGCGAUUACUCAACUAGAAUGUGGCAGAAGGCAGAUUUGAACCCAUAUCCUUCUGAUGCUAAAUAAAACCUGUGAGGCUCCAUGGUGUCCCUCUAAG